CGACCGGCGCACGGGUGAGUAACACGUAUGCAACCUGGCCGUCACAGGUGGAUAACCGGAAGAAAUUCCGACUAAUACAGCAUAACACUCCUGAGGGGCAUCCUUCGGGAGUCAAAGGAGGCAACUCCGGUGACGGAUGGGCAUGCGGCGCAUUAGGUAGUUGGUAGGGUAACGGCCUACCAAGCCGACGAUGCGUAGGGGUUCUGAGAGGAAGGUCCCCCACAUUGGAACUGAGACACGGUCCAAACUCCUACGGAAGGCAGCAG
This 266-nucleotide ribosomal RNA is filed under the name uncultured bacterium. Its description in RNAcentral is "partial 16S ribosomal RNA". It matches the Rfam family "Bacterial small subunit ribosomal RNA", at positions 92 to 354 of the family's 1533-position model. The record is from RNAcentral.